GACGAACGCUGGCGGCGUGCUUAACACAUGCAAGUCGAACGGAAAGGCCCUGCUUUUGUGGGGUGCUCGAGUGGCGCACGGGUGAGUAACACGUGAGUAACCUGCCCUUGACUUUGGGAUAACUUCAGGAAACUGGGGCUAAUACCGGAUAGGAGCUCCUGCUGCAUGGUGGGGGUUGGAAAGUUUCGGCGGUUGGGGAUGGACUCGCGGCUUAUCAGCUUGUUGGUGGGGUAGUGGCUUACCAAGGCUUUGACGGGUAGCCGGCCUGAGAGGGUGACCGGCCACAUAGGGACUGAGAGACGGCACAGACUGCUACGGGAGGGAGCAGUGGGGAAGAUUGCACGAUGGGCGGAAGCCUGAUGCAGCAACGCCGCGUGCGGGAAGACGGCGUUCGGGUUGUAAACCGCUUGCGCCUGUGACGAAGCGUGAGUGACGGUAAUGGGUAAAGAAGCACCGGCUAACUACGUG
Molecule: ribosomal RNA, 468 nt
Filed under: uncultured bacterium
Lineage: Bacteria
Description: partial 16S ribosomal RNA
Rfam family: Bacterial small subunit ribosomal RNA
Source: RNAcentral